This 497-nucleotide ribosomal RNA is filed under the name uncultured bacterium. Its description in RNAcentral is "partial 16S ribosomal RNA". It matches the Rfam family "Bacterial small subunit ribosomal RNA", at positions 28 to 507 of the family's 1533-position model. The record is from RNAcentral.
GAUGAACGCUGGCGGCGUGCCUAAUACAUGCAAGUCGAGCGAACAGACGAGGAGCUUGCUCCUCUGACGUUAGCGGCGGACGGGUGAGUAACACGUGGAUAACCUACCUAUAAGACUGGGAUAACUUCGGGAAACCGGAGCUAAUACCGGAUAAUAUAUUGAACCGCAGGGUUCAAUAGUGAAAGACGGUUUUGCUGUCACUUAUAGAUGGAUCCGCGCCGCAUUAGCUAGUUGGUAAGGUAACGGCUUACCAAGGCAACGAUGCGUAGCCGACCUGAGAGGGUGAUCGGCCACACUGGAACUGAGACACGGUCCAGACUCCUACGGGAGGCAGCAGUAGGGAAUCUUCCGCAAUGGGCGAAAGCUUGACGGAGCAACGCCGCGUGAGUGAUGAAGGUCUUCGGAUCGUAAAACUCUGUUAUUGGGGAAGAACAAAUGUGUAAGUAACUAUGCACGUCUUGACGGUACCUAAUCAGAAAGCCACGGCUAACUACGUG